Molecule: ribosomal RNA, 479 nt
Filed under: uncultured bacterium
Lineage: Bacteria
Description: partial 16S ribosomal RNA
Rfam family: Bacterial small subunit ribosomal RNA
Source: RNAcentral
GAUGAACGCUGGCGGCGUGCUUAACACAUGCAGGUCGAACGAAGCACCUUGAUUCGAUUCUUCGGAUGAAGAUCUUGGUGACUGAGUGGCGGACGGGUGAGUAACGCGUGGGUAACCUGCCUCAUACAGGGGGAUAACAGUUAGAAAUGACUGCUAAUACCGCAUAAGACCACAGCACCGCAUGGUGCAGGGGUAAAAACUCCGGUGGUAUGAGAUGGACCCGCGUCUGAUUAGGUAGUUGGUGGGGUAACGGCCUACCAAGCCGACGAUCAGUAGCCGACCUGAGAGGGUGACCGGCCACAUUGGGACUGAGACACGGCCCAAACUCCUACGGGAGGCAGCAGUGGGGAAUAUUGCACAAUGGGGGAAACCCUGAUGCAGCGACGCCGCGUGAGCGAUGAAGUAUUUCGGUAUGUAAAGCUCUAUCAGCAGGGAAGAAAAUGACGGUACCUGACUAAGAAGCACCGGCUAAAUACGUG